This 497-nucleotide ribosomal RNA is filed under the name uncultured bacterium. RNAcentral's name for it is "partial 16S ribosomal RNA". It matches the Rfam family "Bacterial small subunit ribosomal RNA", at positions 28 to 507 of the family's 1533-position model. The record is from RNAcentral.
GAUGAACGCUGGCGGCGUGCCUAAUACAUGCAAGUCGAGCGAACAGAUGAGGAGCUUGCUCCUCUGACGUUAGCGGCGGACGGGUGAGUAACACGUGGAUAACCUACCUAUAAGACUGGGAUAACUUCGGGAAACCGGAGCUAAUACCGGAUAAUAUAUUGAACCGCAUGGUUCAAUAGUGAAAGACGGUUUUGCUGUCACUUAUAGAUGGAUCCGCGCCGCAUUAGCUAGUUGGUAAGGUAACGGCUUACCAAGGCAACGAUGCGUAGCCGACCUGAGAGGGGGAUCGGCCACACUGGAACGGAGACACGGUCCAGACUCCUACGGGAGGCAGCAGUAGGGAAUCUUCCGCAAUGGGCGAAAGCUUGACGGAGCAACGCCGCGUGAGUGAUGAAGGUCUUCGGAUCGUAAAACUCUGUUAUUAGGGAAGAACAAAUGUGUAAGUAACUAUGCACGUCUUGACGGUACCUAAUCAGAAAGCCACGGCUAACUACGUG